CUUGUUUGUUUUAAUGCAGUUUCAAAUGGGCUUUCUUCAGAUGUGGAGGAAACACUGCAGCCCAAAAUAACAGAACUUCCUUUCAACUGUAUUGGAACUGGGACUAUCUGGACUCAGUGUCAACCACUACUCGUAUCGUGUCAACCUUCUCCUCAGUAAAAGCUGAGCAAGGGAAAUACUGUCAGCUUUUUAAAAUACAGUCUAAAUGCUUGGUCAUAACUACUCAUCUGUCAAGUUGACACCUCAUAAAAAAAAAGAUGAGAGAGUUAACAUUACGAGGCCCUAGAAGAAAGACACGUUGCAAUUCAAGUCCGUAUUCUUGACCUUGCCCUGUUACUGGGAAGACUCAUGGGUCUGUCCAGUUAGUCUCUCCUCGUUGCCUGAAAGCAUCCCUUGCUCCAGCGGCCCUGGUCUCAGAAAUCAUUCUCCAGCCAACGUUGCACAUUUUCUCUUCACACUGGAGACUGCUUCAUGGGCUCUGACCAUCUGGUGUUUCUUCUCCUUUCCUUUUUGAGCAAAGUGAGGACAAGUGAGUCAGAAAGAGGAGAGACGAUAAAGAGGGUGACUAACUCAGGAUCACGUCUGUCACUUGUAGUGGCUGAGGGCCAGGCGAUCCUCCAGUGACACGCUCCCGGCCGGCCCCGUCACACGGGUAUGACUUCGGGGGGGCCGCCCUCCGAAGGUGGCGGUGCGUUGGUCCCCGUUUGUAAGGCAGGCACUGCCCCGGCGUCCUUGGCGUCCGUGUUCACCGUGCAGGAGCAGUUCUUCUCCAGCCUCUUGGCCAUGUCGGGGCAGUUCUGCACAAAGAUCACACGGUUGUAGGCCUUCAGCCUGCGCCACAGCUGAACGUAGACCUUGCACUGUACGUACAUGAAGACCAGACCUCCCGUGAAGCCGAUGGCCACCACAACCAGUUUUGUCCAAAAUGGCCAUUCAAGGACACCUUUGAAAUAAAAGAGAGGACAUUACCACCAAGUCUUUAUUGAUGGAUUUGGUGAUUUUUUUUCCUAUGGUUCCUUCAAAGGAUCAUGCCAGCCUGUUAAUAUUUCAUAGAUCAGGAAUAUAUUCUUAACAACUAGUAAGAAUUAUAACCUGAUUGCUUAAUUGCUUUAAAUAUUCUCCAGGUAUUGCCAAAACUGUACAUGAAGAAAUUCUCUCCCCUACCACUGUAAUGAUGUCUCUCAUCUCUCUUAGCCAUCAAGAACCUACUGUGAUCAUCAGAUACUACAUCAGAUACUUACUUCGACAUUUAUUCCUUACAGGUAAAUCUUUAAGGAAGGAUAGCGCACAUACUGAGUGAAAGAAUCAGACUUUAGGAUCCUCUUAAGGGAGAGCAGGCCUGACUCACUGAGCUGGGGGGCCAGCAGCUCACAGCUGGGGGUGGCUGUGUGCCCCGGGCCGCUGAGCAGUGUCUGGAAGUGGUGAUCGUUACACCUGGUGCGGGGCGGGGGCUGCUGACUCAGCAAGUCCUGUGAUGCUGCUUUGCCAGCAUCGCGCAACGUGUAGGACAGCGAGGAGUUACCCGGUCCAGAGUUCCACGAGUGCUGAGGUGAGAAGCCCUGUUGCAGAAGGUGAUCACUUACUUAAGCUCCUUUAUGUAGAAACUUGCGGGAAGACUCAGUAUACAAGUAAGACACCUUGGACUUCUCCAGAUUUAGAAGGAUGUUUGCUCUCAGCUGUUCCACUGAGCAGUAGUGUCUCCUUGUUUACAAGGAUGUUAACCACAGACAAGCUGAAGCGUGCUUUGUCUCCCAUUUUUAGGAAAAUCCCCAUGGAUUACAUCUCAUUUUCCCCUCUGAUUCCUAAAUCACACUACCACCUGUGCCCUGGAAGUGCCUGGAGAUUCCCUCCUUCCAAGCCUUUGCCCAUGCUAUUUCUUCUCUCAGAAUUUUGCUUCUCUAUUUCUGCAUGCCUACCUGUCCCACAAAACCUGACUCGGAA
Long non-coding RNA from Balaenoptera ricei (Rice's whale), 1941 nucleotides. RefSeq lists it as uncharacterized. The record is from RefSeq and is a predicted model, not a curated record. Lineage: Eukaryota; Metazoa; Chordata; Mammalia; Artiodactyla; Balaenopteridae. The transcript has 5 exons.